Molecule: long non-coding RNA, 426 nt
Organism: Loxodonta africana (African savanna elephant)
Lineage: Eukaryota; Metazoa; Chordata; Mammalia; Proboscidea; Elephantidae
Exons: 3
Source: RefSeq, a predicted model, not a curated record
GCUCACCAAGGGGAUUGUUUAGUUUUCCCUUCAAAGAGAACCAGUUCCAGAGCAAAGAGGAGGAUUCAACUCCCAUCAAGGAAGAACAGCCAAGAGCCGAGUGUAUAUUAUGGACCUGAGAUCCCUGCACUGAGAAGCUCCUAGAAGCAGGAGACUGAGAUAGAGAGAGGAAGCUGUAACCCUGAAGAUGCUUAAAUACAGACCAGAAGAGGAGUUUGGGGCUUGACACCUGACAUCUUAACACCAGUUCCUGUUUCUUGAGGAAGGAAGAGGUAAAAUAAAUCAGCGUUUACUGUUUCCUUCUCCAUCCCCGGAAGUCCUGAUGAAGACCCUCUCAGCUUCAACUUGAACGUGAAUAUGAGCAACUGAUCAUCUGUUCUGCAGUCAGCCCCUGGCCUGAUUCUGACUCAGGGUAUUGACCUUCUC